This 227-nucleotide ribosomal RNA is filed under the name uncultured Methanosaeta sp. Its description in RNAcentral is "partial 16S ribosomal RNA". It matches the Rfam family "Archaeal small subunit ribosomal RNA", at positions 1111 to 1338 of the family's 1478-position model. Lineage: Archaea; Methanobacteriati; Methanobacteriota; Methanomicrobia; Methanotrichales; Methanotrichaceae. The record is from RNAcentral.
CUGCUAAAGCGGAGGAAGGAAUGGGCAACGUAGGUCAGUAUGCCCCGAAUAUCCCGGGCUACACGCGAGCUACAAUGGUUGGUACAAUGGGUAUCUACCCCGAAAGGGGACGGGAAUCUCCUAAAACCAAUCUUAGUUCGGAUUGAGGGCUGCAACUCGCCCUCAUGAAGCUGGAAUCCGUAGUAAUCGCGUUUCAACAGAACGCGGUGAAUACGUCCCUGCUCCUU